This 1767-nucleotide long non-coding RNA is filed under the name Olea europaea subsp. europaea. Lineage: Eukaryota; Viridiplantae; Streptophyta; Magnoliopsida; Lamiales; Oleaceae. The record is from RNAcentral.
UUCAUGUUUAGUUUUAAAAAAUGUUACUAGAUUUCAGAAUUUUAUAAAGUUUUAAUAGCCCAAUAAUUUAAAGAAAAUAUUCAUAAACAAGAAAAGUAUACUUAUUUGCAAACCAUUCACUCAUUGAGUUACAAGCUCAUGUUUUGCCACCCUUUUUUUAGCAGAUAGCAGCAGAGUUGAGCAUCCUUGGAGCCUGUCGAUCCACCGAACUAAGCCACACACAUUGCCAUUAUUUGUAUGACUCAUUUUGUCAAUCUAUAGAAUUUAUAUCUUUUUUUUGACACACAUGUAUGUUUGUCGAAAAAAUUAAUUAGCAAGUCAUGUAUCCAUAUCUUGGGCUUACUGCAUAUUUGGUAUCUUUAGUGUUUUUGGGGUCUUUUGUUUGUAAAGCAUAGUAAAUAUCAACUUGCCAGCAUUUAAUUUUGAAUAAUUUGUAUUUUGAGGGACUAGAAUUUUGAAUAAUUUGUAUUUUGAGGGACUAGUGUAUCCUAUUUUAAAUUAUAUGAACGGAUUUGAAAAAAUUGGUUCUUGUUUAAAUGGUUUUAGUUCAUAUUUCAGGAAAAGCUCUGUCAAAAUGUUGUUAAAAAUAUUUUUCAGUCAAGUUGCCUUGGUAGUAUGUCCGGUAUUUAGCUGGUAUCUACCAUCGGUGCAUGACACGUGUUGAGUCCACUAAGGUGAUUUGGGAGAGGUCGUGUCAUGAUAUAUGUCCACGAAGACUCUAGACUAAGAAUUAUUCAUGGGGAUUUGAUAGUUAGCAACAUCCAUGAAUCCCAAAAUAUCUUAUUUUGGUCUCGCCAGGAUUUUUGGAGUAGUCCAAAACGAAGAAAACACCUAUGGAGUAGUUGGAACCUAGUGAUUUAUAAUCACACACCUAAAUGUUUGUAGACAAAUGACAGAGAUGACAAAUUAAAGGAAGGGCACUUCAGCCUUGACUUUUCUGAAUGUCCGAUUGCAAUGGGCAUAAGUCACCAGAAUAUGCAAUGGAAGGGCACUUUCAAUAAUGUCUAAUGUUUACAGUUUGGGGCUUUUACUGUUGGAGAUCAUCUGUGGCAGGAAGAAUAGCAGUUAUUUUCAAGACAAUACGAUGAAUUUGACUGGAUAUGUAAGUAUUUGCAUCUUUAAAAUCUAAACUGAAAUCAUUGCUUUAUUAUCAAGUUAUGCUCCAAAAAAUUCUUUGGGCUUGAUAGAACGAUGAAGACAUUGAUUGGAGUUAAACAGAGUGAAAUUAUUGUAGGUAAGUACAACUGAUUUUCAUCUCUCUAUUUCAGGUUUGGGACUUGUAGAGAGAAAAAGAGCAUUGGAUAUAGUAGAUUCAUCAGUCGACAACUCUUACGAAGACAACAAAGAUUUGAGGUGCAUUCUUGUUGGUCUUUUGUGCGUGCAAGAAUGUGCUCCUGAUCAGCCCACGAUGUCAGUAAUAGUUUUCAUGCUACAUACUGGAACAACUCUCAUCCUAAAGCAAACUUCAUCUAUCAUCAAGAAAGAUAGUACUACUCUAUACUCAUCACCAGCUAGUUUAAAAAUCAAAUAUGCGAAUAAUAUGUCAGUUAUCGUGGUUGAAGCUCCCUAAAGGCUUCCUGUAAAUACUUUCCUUUUUUAAUGUAGUUCAAGGGGUGUAUAUUAGCCCAAUAUGAGGCAAAAGGGGAAAAAAAUCAAAAAACAAAAAAAAAAAACAAAAACAAAAAACAAAAACAAAAUCUGUGCCAACAUAAAUGUUCCUUGUAUUUGACACUAUUGAUGCAUAGAGUUGAUGUAUACAUUCAGUAC